ACAAUUUAUUUUUUAAUUUAUUCAAAAAAGAAGGCACUUUGCUAAACUCGCAUCACUCGUAAAUUUAAAACAAAAAAUAAAACUCGAUUCGAGAAUCAUUACAAUUAAUACACAGAAAACAAUCCGUUUCGAAUCUCAAAGAUAACAGAUGG
Molecule: long non-coding RNA, 152 nt
Organism: Bradysia coprophila
Lineage: Eukaryota; Metazoa; Arthropoda; Insecta; Diptera; Sciaridae
Source: RefSeq, a predicted model, not a curated record